RNAcentral lists this ribosomal RNA (253 nucleotides) under uncultured bacterium. RNAcentral describes it as "partial 16S ribosomal RNA". It matches the Rfam family "Bacterial small subunit ribosomal RNA", at positions 524 to 776 of the family's 1533-position model. The record is from RNAcentral.
UACGUAGGGGGCAAGCGUUGUCCGGAAUUAUUGGGCGUAAAGAGCGUGUAGGCGGCCAGAUAAGUCCGCUGUGAAAUCUCGAGGCUCAACUUCGAGCUGUCGGUGGAAACUAUCUGGCUAGAGUCCGGAAGAGGAGAGUGGAAUUCCUGGUGUAGCGGUGAAAUGCGCAGAUAUCAGGAAGAACACCCGUGGCGAAGGCGGCUCUCUGGGACGGUACUGACGCUGAGACGCGAAAGCGUGGGGAGCGAACAGG